GAUGAACGCUGGCGGCGUGCCUAAUACAUGCAAGUCGAGCGAACAGACGAGGAGCUUGCUCCUCUGACGUUAGCGGCGGACGGGUGAGUAACACGUGGAUAACCUACCUAUAAGACUGGGAUAACUUCGGGAAACCGGAGCUAAUACCGGAUAAUAUAUUGAACCGCAUGGUUCAAUAGUGAAAGACGGUUUUGCUGUCACUUAUAGAUGGAUCCGCGCCGCAUUAGCUAGUUGGUAAGGUAACGGCUUACCAAGGCAACGAUGCGUAGCCGACCUGAGAGGAUGAUCAGCCACACUGGAACUGAGACACGGUCCAGACUCCUACGGGAGGCAGCAGUAGGGAAUCUUGCGCAAUGGGCGAAAGCUUGACGGAGCAACGCCGCGUGAGUGAUGAAGGUCUUCGGAUCGUAAAACUCUGUUAUUAGGGAAGAACAAAUGUGUAAGUAACUAUGCACGUCUUGACGGUACCUAAUCAGAAAGCCACGGCUAACUACGUG
Molecule: ribosomal RNA, 497 nt
Filed under: uncultured bacterium
Lineage: Bacteria
Description: partial 16S ribosomal RNA
Rfam family: Bacterial small subunit ribosomal RNA
Source: RNAcentral